AGAAUUUUUCACAAUGGGCGAAAGCCUGAUGGAGCGACGCCGCGUGGGGGAUGAAUGGCUUCGGCCCGUAAACCCCUGUCAUUCGCGAGCAAACGUUAUUAUUUAAAAGAUGAUAGCCUGAUAGUAGCGAAAGAGGAAGGGACGGCUAACUCUGUGCCAGCAGCCGCGGUAAUACAGAGGUCCCAAGCGUUGUUCGGAUUUACUGGGCGUAAAGGGUGCGUAGGUGGUGGGGUAAGUCGGAUGUGAAAUCUCCGAGCUCAACUCGGAAAGUGCGUUGGAAACUACCCUGCUCGAGGGUUGGAGGGGGGACUGGAAUACUUGGUGUAGCAGUGAAAUGCGUAGAUAUCAAGUGGAACACCAGUGGCGAAGGCGAGUCCCUGGACAACUCCUGACACUGAGGCACGAAAGCUAGGGGAGCAAACAG
RNAcentral lists this ribosomal RNA (424 nucleotides) under uncultured bacterium. RNAcentral describes it as "bacterial SSU rRNA". It matches the Rfam family "Bacterial small subunit ribosomal RNA", at positions 358 to 775 of the family's 1533-position model. The record is from RNAcentral.